UACGGGGGGGGCAAGCGUUGUUCGGAAUUACUGGGCGUAAAGGGCUCGUAGGCGGCCAACUAAGUCAGACGUGAAAUCCCCAGGCUCAACCUGGGAACUGCGUCUGAUACUGGAUGGCUUGAAUCCGGGAGAGGGAUGCAGAAUUCCAGGUGUAGCGGUGAAAUGCGUAGAUAUCUGGAGGAAUACCGGUGGCGAAGGCGGCAUCCUGGACCGGCAUUGACGCUGAGGAGCGAAUGCCAGGGGAGCAAACGGG
Molecule: ribosomal RNA, 253 nt
Filed under: uncultured bacterium
Lineage: Bacteria
Description: partial 16S ribosomal RNA
Rfam family: Bacterial small subunit ribosomal RNA
Source: RNAcentral